Molecule: ribosomal RNA, 315 nt
Filed under: uncultured bacterium
Lineage: Bacteria
Description: bacterial SSU rRNA
Rfam family: Bacterial small subunit ribosomal RNA
Source: RNAcentral
CCCCGAGAAGAAGCGCCGGCUACUCCGUCCAGCAGCCGCGGUAAUACGGAGGGCGCAAGCGUUAAUCGGAAUGACUGGGCGUAAACGUGCGCAGGCGCCGCGGAAGUCGGAUGUGAAAGCCCGGGCUCAACCCGGGACUGCGUUCGAAACUCCGCGGCUCGAGUCCGGCAGAGGAAGGUGGAAUUCCGCGUGUAGCGGUGAAAUGCGUAGAGAUGCGGAAGAACACUAAUGGCGAAGGCAUCCUUCUGGGCCGGCACUGACGCUGAGGCACGAAAGNCGUGGGUAGCAAACAGAGAUUAGAUACCCNUGGUAGUC